This 505-nucleotide ribosomal RNA is filed under the name uncultured bacterium. RNAcentral's name for it is "partial 16S ribosomal RNA". It matches the Rfam family "Bacterial small subunit ribosomal RNA", at positions 28 to 507 of the family's 1533-position model. The record is from RNAcentral.
GACGAACGCUGGCGGCGUGCCUAAUACAUGCAAGUCGAACGCACAGUUUAUACCGUAGCUUGCUACACCAUAAACUGUGAGUUGCGAACGGGUGAGUAACGCGUAGGUAACCUGCCUGGUAGCGGGGGAUAACUAUUGGAAACGAUAGCUAAUACCGCAUAAUAUUAAUUAUUGCAUGAUAAUUGAUUGAAAGAUGCAAUUGCAUCACUACCAGAUGGACCUGCGUUGUAUUAGCUAGUAGGUGAGGUAACGGCUCACCUAGGCGACGAUACAUAGCCGACCUGAGAAGGUGAUCGGCCACACUGGGACUGAGACACGGCCCAGACUCCUACGGGAGGCAGCAGUAGGGAAUCUUCGGCAAUGGACGAAAGUCUGACCGAGCAACGCCGCGUGAGUGAAGAAGGUUUUCGGAUCGUAAAGCUCUGUUGUAAGAGAAGAACGGGUGUGAGAGUGGAAAGUUCACACUGUGACGGUAUCUUAACAGAAAGAGACGGCUAACUACGUG